This 267-nucleotide long non-coding RNA is filed under the name Cricetulus griseus (Chinese hamster). RNAcentral describes it as "lncRNA (ENSCGRG00015034876.1)". The record is from RNAcentral. Lineage: Eukaryota; Metazoa; Chordata; Mammalia; Rodentia; Cricetidae.
ACUGACCCGGGGGCAGGGACGAGUACAGCUGCGCAGAGUUCUUCCCCGAAUAAUCUCAGCCGUGAGUAGGGUUGUUUGGGGGAGAGUUAGUAUUAGUCCUUACCUGACACCUGAAGGCAAUAUUGUCUGUCCUUGUGGGAGUUGAUAAUUCCUCCAGGCACUGGUCAGCUACCUAAACGGGAGUGCUGUGUGCAUGGGAAAAAUCAAAGGACUCGCAGGUAGCUAAAGCCUCGUGCUGUCUAACAUUCCCAUUGAGCAACACUGGAG